This 501-nucleotide ribosomal RNA is filed under the name Triticum aestivum (bread wheat). RNAcentral describes it as "partial small subunit ribosomal RNA". Lineage: Eukaryota; Viridiplantae; Streptophyta; Magnoliopsida; Poales; Poaceae. The record is from RNAcentral.
AUGGCAGAGUUUUCCGUGUGCACCGCAUAUCAUGCUCUAUGCCGGUCACCUGCCACACCCUGGUUAGAACCAAUGUCGAAAGCUCCCGUACCCCUGAAGAUUAAGAUAUUCGUGUGGCAGCUUCUACGCAAUCGCCUUUGCUCGGGGACAGAGGUACUUAAGCAACAAGGCCCGAGGAAUGGCUUGUGCCCGCUCUGCGCUGUACCAGAGACGGAGACUCAUAUCCUAUUCUCAUGUACGGCAGUGAGGGUGAUGUGGAUGUUCGUACACGAGGCGUUGGGGCCCGACUGGGAGGCCCUGAACCUUGUGGACUUCCUCCAGUAUAGGGCUAUGCAGCCGUUGCAACAUCCCCUCCUUUUUUGGCUCAUCUUUGCGGCGAUGUCAUGGACACUGUGGAUAACUUGUAAUAAAAUGGUGAUUGAGAAUGUCUUCCCGCGGAAGGUAUCUGACUCCUGCUUCGAAUUCCUUGCUUUUCUGCAGCACUGGCUGCUGUCAAGGUAG